Non-coding RNA from Manis javanica (Malayan pangolin), 630 nucleotides. NCBI's taxonomy places the organism in Eukaryota, Metazoa, Chordata, Mammalia, Pholidota, Manidae. The record is from RefSeq and is a predicted model, not a curated record.
GGCGCUCGGGCGUUGUCUGUCCGGCCGGCCCUGUUCCGGGACCAUGUCCGGGUCCGUGUGUAGGGACGGGGGGGAAGUGAGCCCGUGCGCACACUGAGGAGCAGCAGCCCGCCGAAGAGGCCCUAGGGCAGGGAGUGCGGGACAGGGCCCGGGGCUUCGCGCCCUCCCCGGGGGCGCCCUCUUCGCGUGUCACCUCGGGUCACCAACAUGGCGGCUCAGAGCGGAGCCUGGUCUGGAUCCACCAUGAAACCUUCCAACAGGAAUAGAGGAAUAUGUUAGAAAACAGAAAAAUGAACUAUCAAGCAAAAAUAAGCAAAUGAAAAUGAAAGCCCAUGACCGUGAAGAGUCAUGAGUGAAGUAUCCAUGAGUGGAGAAAUGGUGCCUGAGAAAAACAUGCAGACCACUAAUUUAAAGGAGUUUUAAGUUUGCAUUUGGAAAUACUGUAGACCCCCUAUCUACAGUUUCAUUUUUCACGGUUUCAGUUAUCUGUAGUCAACUGCUGUCCAGAAACAGAUGAUCCUCCUUCUAUAUCAUCAGAAGGUUGAUAAUAGCCCGAUGCUCCCUCACAAUGCCUACAGCAUUCACCUCACUGCAUCUUAUGUAGGCAUUUUAUCAUCUCAAUUCAUCACA